Molecule: transfer RNA, 71 nt
Filed under: Candidatus Lloydbacteria bacterium RIFCSPHIGHO2_02_FULL_51_22
Lineage: Bacteria; Candidatus Lloydiibacteriota
Description: tRNA-Pro
Rfam family: tRNA
About the family: Transfer RNA (tRNA) molecules are approximately 80 nucleotides in length. Their secondary structure includes four short double-helical elements and three loops (D, anti-codon, and T loops). Further hydrogen bonds mediate the characteristic L-shaped molecular structure. tRNAs have two regions of fundamental functional importance: the anti-codon, which is responsible for specific mRNA codon recognition, and the 3' end, to which the tRNAs corresponding amino acid is attached (by aminoacyl-tRNA synthetases). tRNAs cope with the degeneracy of the genetic code in two manners: having more than one tRNA (with a specific anti-codon) for a particular amino acid; and 'wobble' base-pairing, i.e. permitting non-standard base-pairing at the 3rd anti-codon position.
Source: RNAcentral
CGGGCUGUAGCAUAAUGGUAGUGUUCGCGCUUUGGGAGCGCGAGGCCUGGGUUCGAUUCCCAGCAGCCCGA